RNAcentral lists this ribosomal RNA (253 nucleotides) under uncultured bacterium. RNAcentral describes it as "partial 16S ribosomal RNA". It matches the Rfam family "Bacterial small subunit ribosomal RNA", at positions 524 to 776 of the family's 1533-position model. The record is from RNAcentral.
UACGAAGGGGGCUAGCGUUGUUCGGAAUCACUGGGCGUAAAGCGCACGCAGGCGGAUCGUUAAGUCAGGGGUGAAAUCCCGGGGCUCAACCCCGGAACUGCCUUUGAUACUGGGUAUCUCGAGUCCGGAAGAGGUGAGUGGAAUUCCGAGUGUAGAGGUGAAAUUCGUAGAUAUUCGGAGGAACACCAGUGGCGAAGGCGGCUUCCUGGCCUGUUCUUGACGCUGAGGCGCGAAAGCUAGGGGAGCAAACGGG